Bombyx mori (domestic silkworm) is the source of this 985-nucleotide long non-coding RNA. RefSeq lists it as uncharacterized. Lineage: Eukaryota; Metazoa; Arthropoda; Insecta; Lepidoptera; Bombycidae. The transcript has 4 exons. The record is from RefSeq and is a predicted model, not a curated record.
ACGAAACGACAAAAUGACAGUUUAGCAAGACAACGUUUUUAUUCCAGUGGCUUGAUAGGAAUCUCAAUGAAUUCAUAUGGAAAGUGUAAUGAAUAUUAAUAAUAGUCAGAACCCAGGUUCUUCAUAAAACUUUAAAAUUUUUCCAAUAUUUUCUUGCGUUGACUUUAGAAAAUAUUGCAAUUUCGCCUCUUCAUAUAAACAGCCCGCGGGAGGCGGCGCCACAAAGUGGCAAUAUUCUAUCUCGACGGGGCUCCUCAAACAAGGGGACACGAGAGGGACAGUUUAAUUAACAUAAAACCAAGAGCGACAAGGAUGGUUUCAAGUUAUUAAUUGGAGAGAAUUGACGGAAGUGCACGCAGAGUCGUGUUUUUGACAAAUUCCGCUUUGAUACAGCUAUUAUUUUCACCUCAACGCUUCAAGGGUCGACCCUUAAAAGUGACUCGAGGAAAAUGGAGUUUUGUGAAGAUUUUUAGAUACCCUUUUAUUGACGCUUAGGCGAUUGACUCAGAAGAACAUGCUUGCUACAUCAAGCACGGCUUCCACGUUCUCGUAACUUUCCAUGCUGAAGGAAUAUAAUCGUACUCAAAACAAAAAACGAAUAAUCGCUAGAUACAAAACGUGAUCGCAAACAACUAUCAGUUCCGGAGAACCUGUGAUAAAAAUGUGCCAAAUAAGGAUCAGCAUAUUAAAUGGCGUUAGAUGCGUCAUAAUUGUAAUGUUAAUUGUGAUACGUAAUGAUAAUAGGAAUUUGAAAUUUCCGCCACAAAAUAAAACGAAAAUAAUGAGACAACAAAAUUUUUUGAAAUCAAAUGAUCAAAUGAAUUACGUAUAAUUAAAAAGAAAAUAUUAUUUCGCAUUCUAGUUUACUUUUUAAUAUGGUCAGUUUUUUUUUUUGGUUAAAUAUUUUAUUGUUUCACUUACAUUUUUAUUUACUUUUGUUUUACUUGUUAUUUCUAUGUAUCAAUAUCUUAUAAUCGGAUCUACA